AUUGAACGCUGGCGGCAGGCCUAACACAUGCAAGUCGAACGGCAGCGGGGGGUAGCUUGCUACCCCGCCGGCGAGUGGCGGACGGGUGAGUAAUGCCUGGGGAGCUGCCCAGUCGAGGGGGAUACCAGUUGGAAACGACUGCUAAUACCGCAUACGCCCUGAGGGGGAAAGGUGGGGAUCUUCGGACCUACCGCGAUUGGAUGCAUCCAGGUGGGAUUAGCUAGUUGGUGAGGUAACGGCUCACCAAGGCGACGAUCUCUAGCUGGUCUGAGAGGAUGACCAGCCACACUGGAAAUGAGACACGGUCCAGACUCCUACGGGAGGCAGCAGUGGGGAAUAUUGCACAAUGGGGGAAACCCUGAUGCAGCCAUGCCGCGUGUGUGAAGAAGGCCUUCGGGUUGUAAAGCACUUUCAGCGAGGAGGAAAGGGGUGAUGCUAAUACCAUCAUUCUGUGACGUUACUCGCAGAAGAAGCACCGGCUAACUCCGUGCCAGCCGCCGCCGUAA
Molecule: ribosomal RNA, 506 nt
Filed under: uncultured bacterium
Lineage: Bacteria
Description: partial 16S ribosomal RNA
Rfam family: Bacterial small subunit ribosomal RNA
Source: RNAcentral